This 757-nucleotide ribosomal RNA is filed under the name uncultured bacterium. RNAcentral's name for it is "bacterial SSU rRNA". It matches the Rfam family "Bacterial small subunit ribosomal RNA", at positions 8 to 748 of the family's 1533-position model. The record is from RNAcentral.
AGAGUUUGAUCAUGGCUCAGGACGAACGCUGGCGGCGUGCCUAAUACAUGCAAGUAGAACGCUGAAGAGAGGAGCUUGCUCUUCUUGGAUGAGUUGCGAACGGGUGAGUAACGCGUAGGUAACCUGCCUUGUAGCGGGGGAUAACUAUUGGAAACGAUAGCUAAUACCGUAUAAUAAUGGAUGACACAUGUCAUUUAUUUGAAAGGGGCAAUUGCUCCACUACAAGAUGGACCUGCGUUGUAUUAGCUAGUAGGUGAGGUAAUGGCUCACCUAGGCGACGAUACAUAGCCGACCUGAGAGGGUGAUCGGCCACACUGGGACUGAGACACGGCCCAGACUCCUACGGGAGGCAGCUGUAGGGAAUCUUCGGCAAUGGGGGCAACCCUGACCGAGCAACGCCGCGUGAGUGAAGAAGGUCUUCGGAUCGUAAAGCUCUGUUGUAGGUCAAGAACGGGUGUGAGAGUGGAAAGUUCACACUGUGACGGUAGCUUACCAGAAAGGGACGGCUAACUACGCGCCAGCAGCCGCGGUAAUACGUAGGUCCCGAGCGUUGUCCGGAUUUAUUGGGCGUAAAGCGAGCGCAGGCGGUUUGAUAAGUCUGAAGUUGAAGGCUGUGGCUCAACCAUAGUUCGCUUUGGAAACUGUCAAACUUGAGUGCAGAAGGGGAGAGUGGAAUUCCAUGUGUAGCGGUGAAAUGCGUAGAUAUAUGGAGGAACACCGGUGGCGAAAGCGGCUCUCUGGUCUGUAACUGACGCUG